UACGGAGGGGGCUAGCGUUGUUCGGAAUUACUGGGCGUAAAGCGCACGUAGGCGGACUGUUAAGUCGGGGGUGAAAUCCUGGGGUUCAACCUCAGAAUUGCCUCCGAUACUGGCAGUCUCGAGUGCGGGAGAGGUGAGUGGAAUUCCCAGUGUAGAGGUGAAAUUCGUAGAUAUUGGGAAGAACACCAGUGGCGAAGGCGGCUCACUGGCCCGUAACUGACGCUGAGGUGCGAAAGCGUGGGGAGCAAACAGG
This 253-nucleotide ribosomal RNA is filed under the name uncultured bacterium. Its description in RNAcentral is "partial 16S ribosomal RNA". It matches the Rfam family "Bacterial small subunit ribosomal RNA", at positions 524 to 776 of the family's 1533-position model. The record is from RNAcentral.